AACGAACGCUGGCGGCAUGCCUAACACAUGCAAGUCGAACGAGACCUUCGGGUCUAGUGGCGCACGGGUGCGUAACGCGUGGGAACCUGCCCUUAGGUUCGGAAUAACUCCCCGAAAGGGGUGCUAAUACCGGAUAAUGUCUUCGGACCAAAGAUUUAUCGCCUUUGGAUGGGCCCGCGUUGGAUUAGCUUGUUGGGAGGGUAAGAGCCUACCAAGGCGACGAUCCAUAGCUGGUCUGAGAGGAUGAUCAGCCACACUGGGACUGAGACACGGCCCAGACUCCUACGGGAGGCAGCAGUGGGGAAUAUUGGACAAUGGGCGAAAGCCUGAUCCAGCAAUGCCGCGUGAGUGAUGAAGGCCUUAGGGUUGUAAAGCUCUUUUACCCGGGAUGAUAAUGACAGUACCGGGAGAAUAAGCUCCGGCUAACUCCGUG
This 433-nucleotide ribosomal RNA is filed under the name uncultured bacterium. Its description in RNAcentral is "partial 16S ribosomal RNA". It matches the Rfam family "Bacterial small subunit ribosomal RNA", at positions 29 to 507 of the family's 1533-position model. The record is from RNAcentral.